RNAcentral lists this long non-coding RNA (965 nucleotides) under Physcomitrium patens. RNAcentral describes it as "long non-coding RNA (PPAT_LNC004635)". The record is from RNAcentral. Lineage: Eukaryota; Viridiplantae; Streptophyta; Bryopsida; Funariales; Funariaceae.
UGUUUAAUAUGUUUCGUGAAUUUGAACUCGAUCUAACGGUUGAAUUGAGGAAUAUUGAGGUUUAAAAGGUCAAGGUCUCAGAAAGUAGAAUUUUAGAUCUAGUGGAGGUUUUUAAUAUUUCUUGCAAUCGACUAGUUGGAUUGGAGUAAAACUUAUGUAAGAGAAUAUAAGACUUGUUUUUCUAUGUGUAUGAGAAUUUUGAGAUCAAUCGAACGGUGAAAAAGAGAGAUAUUGGCUCUGGAAGAUCGACAUCAAGAUUGGAGAAGGAGGCCGGCCAAUACCCAAGCACAUUUUUGAGGUUAUCGUCAAUUUGGUAACUUCGAUCCUUUUCAAUCUUUUUGUGCUUGUUUUGAACUUAGUUUUUAAGAAGUGUGCAAAAUUUGAGUUAAGAUCAACGGUUUAUUCAUUAGUUAUUGAGGUUUAAAUCUGCUAUAGGAAUUACUAGGAUUUGGUUAGAUUUUGGUUUAGGGUUUAGGAUUUGGAUUAGGGUUUGAUUUAGGAUUUAGGGUUUGGUUAGGAUUUGAUUUAGGGUUAAGGAUUUGGAUUAGGAUUUGGAUUAGAAUUUGGUUAGGGUUUGAUUUAGGAAUUAGGAUUUGGUUUAAGAUUUGAUUAGGAUUUAGUUAGGAUUUGGUUAGGGUUUGGUUUAGGAUUUGGUUGGGUUUUGGUUUAAGAUUUGUUUAGGGUUUGGAUUAGGAUUUGGUUUAGGAUUAGGAUUUGGUUUAGGAUUUAGGGUUUAGGAUUAGGAUUUAGGAUUUAGGAUUAGGAUUUAGGAUUUGAUUAGGAUUUUAUUUAGGAUUUAGGGUUGAGAUUAGGAUUUGGUUUAGGGUUUAGGAUUUGGUUGGGGUUUGAUUUAAGGUUUGUUUAGGGUUUGAUUUAGGGUUUAGAAAUUUAUUAGGAUUUAAGAUUUAAUUAGUUUUGUUCUAAAAUUUGAAUGAAUUUCAAUAAGAUUUUAACUAGAAUUAAAU